This 446-nucleotide ribosomal RNA is filed under the name uncultured bacterium. RNAcentral describes it as "bacterial SSU rRNA". It matches the Rfam family "Bacterial small subunit ribosomal RNA", at positions 29 to 520 of the family's 1533-position model. The record is from RNAcentral.
AACGAACGCUGGCGGCAUGCCUAACACAUGCAAGUCGAACGAGACCUUCGGGUCUAGUGGCGCACGGGUGCGUAACGCGUGGGGAUCUGCCCUUGGGUUCGGAAUAACAGUUAGAAAUGACUGCUAAUACCGGAUAAUGUCUUCGGACCAAAGAUUUAUCGCCCAGGGAUGAGCCCGCGUAGGAUUAGCUAGUUGGUGAGGUAAAGGCUCACCAAGGCGACGAUCCUUAGCUGGUCUGAGAGGAUGAUCAGCCACACUGGGACUGAGACACGGCCCAGACUCCUACGGGAGGCAGCAGUGGGGAAUAUUGGACAAUGGGCGAAAGCCUGAUCCAGCAAUGCCGCGUGAGUGAUGAAGGCCUUAGGGUUGUAAAGCUCUUUUACCCGGGAUGAUAAUGACAGUACCGGGAGAAUAAGCCCCGGCUAACUCCGUGCCAGCAGCCGCGG